This 229-nucleotide ribosomal RNA is filed under the name uncultured bacterium. RNAcentral describes it as "partial 16S ribosomal RNA". It matches the Rfam family "Bacterial small subunit ribosomal RNA", at positions 568 to 796 of the family's 1533-position model. The record is from RNAcentral.
UCCGUAGGUGGAUAAUUAAGUCAGAGGUGAAAUCCUGCAGCUCAACUGUAGAAUUGCCUUUGAAACUGGUUAUCUUGAGUUAUUAUGAAGUAGUUAGAAUAUGUAGUGUAGCGGUGAAAUGCAUAGAUAUUACAUAGAAUACCAAUUGCGAAGGCAGAUUACUAAUAAUCAACUGACACUGAUGGACGAAAGCGUGGGUAGCGAACAGGAUUAGAUACCCUGGUAGUCC